Molecule: transfer RNA, 70 nt
Filed under: Arthroleptis poecilonotus (West African screeching frog)
Lineage: Eukaryota; Metazoa; Chordata; Amphibia; Anura; Arthroleptidae
Description: tRNA-Thr
Rfam family: tRNA
About the family: Transfer RNA (tRNA) molecules are approximately 80 nucleotides in length. Their secondary structure includes four short double-helical elements and three loops (D, anti-codon, and T loops).
Source: RNAcentral
GUCUAGGUAGCUUAAAAUAAAAGCAUUGGCCUUGUAAGCCAAAGAUUGCAGCUAGCAAAUGCCUUAGAUA